AGAAGGGAACGUGCGGAGAAGUCAACAACCGCGUUCUCGCUGGAGAAUUCGGAACCGGCUGCACUCGCCCAAAGGACAUAACGUAUGGAUGCCUUGCCUUAAAGCUGCGCUUUGCUUGCAACAAGAGGAACACGGCAGGGAGAGACCCGCGCCGCGCCCCACUUGGAGCUUCCGCCCAAGCGCGAGGCCCAGCGAACGGCACACGCCGACAGAGCCAGGCGCUUGAAACGAACCCGAGAGCCUACGCCUUAUGAGCCUCCCGUCCUCUAGCAGCCAGCCAGAGGCAAUCGGGUUUUAGCCGCAAUUAGCGAGCGUAGCUUGCUGACAGCAAGCAGCGGAGCUCUGAAACGCUGGAAGCCCGCGUCGCAAGAGCACGCUGCAGCCGCAGACACUCCUUACGAU
Molecule: unclassified non-coding RNA, 402 nt
Filed under: Pyrostria sp. 5 De Block et al. 1117
Lineage: Eukaryota; Viridiplantae; Streptophyta; Magnoliopsida; Gentianales; Rubiaceae
Description: partial miscellaneous RNA
Source: RNAcentral